This 779-nucleotide ribosomal RNA is filed under the name Streptomyces sp. Its description in RNAcentral is "bacterial SSU rRNA". It matches the Rfam family "Bacterial small subunit ribosomal RNA", at positions 56 to 848 of the family's 1533-position model. Lineage: Bacteria; Bacillati; Actinomycetota; Actinomycetes; Kitasatosporales; Streptomycetaceae. The record is from RNAcentral.
UGCAGUCGAACGAUGAAGCCGCUUCGGUGGUGGAUUAGUGGCGAACGGGUGAGUAACACGUGGGCAAUCUGCCCUGCACUCUGGGACAAGCCCUGGAAACGGGGUCUAAUACCGGAUACGACACAGGAAGGCAUCUUCUCUGUGUGGAAAGCUCCGGCGGUGCAGGAUGAGCCCGCGGCCUAUCAGCUUGUUGGUGGGGUGAUGGCCUACCAAGGCGACGACGGGUAGCCGGCCUGAGAGGGCGACCGGCCACACUGGGACUGAGACACGGCCCAGACUCCUACGGGAGGCAGCAGUGGGGAAUAUUGCACAAUGGGCGAAAGCCUGAUGCAGCGACGCCGCGUGAGGGAUGACGGCCUUCGGGUUGUAAACCUCUUUCAGCAGGGAAGAAGCGCAAGUGACGGUACCUGCAGAAGAAGCACCGGCUAACUACGUGCCAGCAGCCGCGGUAAUACGUAGGGUGCGAGCGUUGUCCGGAAUUAUUGGGCGUAAAGAGCUCGUAGGCGGCUUGUCACGUCGGAUGUGAAAGCCCGGGGCUUAACCCCGGGUCUGCAUUCGAUACGGGCAGGCUAGAGUUCGGUAGGGGAGAUCGGAAUUCCUGGUGUAGCGGUGAAAUGCGCAGAUAUCAGGAGGAACACCGGUGGCGAAGGCGGAUCUCUGGGCCGAUACUGACGCUGAGGAGCGAAAGCGUGGGGAGCGAACAGGAUUAGAUACCCUGGUAGUCCACGCCGUAAACGUUGGGAACUAGGUGUGGGCGACAUUCCACGUCGUCCGUGCCG